AAAACGACUCUCGGCAACGGAUAUCUCGGCUCUCGCAUCGAUGAAGAACGUAGCGAAAUGCGAUACUUGGGUGGAAUUGCAGAAUCCGUGAACCAUCGAGUCUUUGAACGCAAGCUGCGCCCCCAAGCCUUACGGCCGAGGGCACGUCUCGCCCUGGGUGUCACAA
Molecule: ribosomal RNA, 166 nt
Filed under: Arabidopsis thaliana (thale cress)
Lineage: Eukaryota; Viridiplantae; Streptophyta; Magnoliopsida; Brassicales; Brassicaceae
Description: 5.8S ribosomal RNA
Rfam family: 5.8S ribosomal RNA
About the family: 5.8S ribosomal RNA (5.8S rRNA) is a component of the large subunit of the eukaryotic ribosome.
Source: RNAcentral